UACGUAGGGGGCAAGCGUUGUCCGGAAUCAUUGGGCGUAAAGCGCGUGUAGGCGGUCCGGUAAGUCCGCUGUAAAAGUCGGGGGCUCAACCCUCGGAUGCCGGUGGAUACUGUCGGGCUUGAGUACGGAAGAGGCGAGUGGAAUUCCUGGUGUAGCGGUGAAAUGCGCAGAUAUCAGGAGGAACACCAAUUGCGAAGGCAGCUCGCUGGGACGUUACUGACGCUGAGACGCGAAAGCAUGGGGAGCGAACAGG
RNAcentral lists this ribosomal RNA (253 nucleotides) under uncultured bacterium. RNAcentral describes it as "partial 16S ribosomal RNA". It matches the Rfam family "Bacterial small subunit ribosomal RNA", at positions 524 to 776 of the family's 1533-position model. The record is from RNAcentral.